This is a long non-coding RNA of Ruditapes philippinarum (Manila clam), 3041 nucleotides long. RefSeq lists it as uncharacterized. The record is from RefSeq and is a predicted model, not a curated record. Lineage: Eukaryota; Metazoa; Mollusca; Bivalvia; Venerida; Veneridae. The transcript is spliced from 3 exons.
CAAAUUAAUAUGAGCAAAUUUGAUAAAAGACUACCCAAGAAUGCUACAGACAAAGCUUGGUGAUCAUCCAUUAAUUAGUUCUGUAGAAAUAGACGUUUAAAAGUAUUUCUAUAUUUAGCUUUAGCUGCCCCAUAAAGAGGCCAGUCACAAUAAUAUGAGCAAACUUGAUAUAAGACUACCCAAGAAUGCUACAGACAAAGUUUGGUGAUCAUCCAUCAAUUAGUUCUGUAGAAGAAGACGUUUAAAGGGUUUUCUAUAUUUAGCCUUAGAGACACCUUAAAGGGGCCAAUCAAAUUAAUAUGAGCAAACUUAAUAAAAGACUACCCAAGAAUAAUACAGACAAAGUUUGGUGAUCAUCCAUCCAUUAGUUCUGUAGAAGAAGAUGUUUUAAGGUUUUUUCUAUUUUUAGCCCUAGAGACCCCUAAAAGGGGCAAUCAAAUUAAUAAUGAGCAAACUUGAUAAAAAAAAAACUACCCAAGUAUGCUACAGACAAAGUUUGGUGAUCAUCCAUCAAUUAGUUCUGUAGUAGAAGAUGUUUAAAGGUUUUUUCUAUUUUUAGCACUGUUGACCCCUAAAAGGGGCCAAUUGAAAUGACAUGAGGAAUAUCAAGUGUGACUGUCACAAGGAUUCUACAGACCACAUUUGAAGUAAAUCUGCACAGCAGUUUAAUCUGCACAGCAGUUUCAAAGAAGAAGACGAUUGUUGACGCAUGACGACGACGACGGACGCCGGAGUAUACUCUUUGAUACUAAUAGAUCACACUGAGCCUUCGGCUCUGGUGAGCUAAUAAACAUUUUCUUUUCAUGUUUACCUUUAUUUAAUCAAUUUAUAUUUGUAAUUAAAUACAACUAAAGAUGUAGGGCGAUAGUUAUCAAUUCGUAAUAAAUGACUAUUUUGCUAUAAAGUUUCCUGAUAUAAGAAACUGAUUGCUGUAUGCUUAAAAGGAAAUCCGCAUAUAAGGAACAGAUUUUGAAUGUCGCAGUGGGUUCGCUAUAAGCACAGUUUACUGUUGUCAUGUACCAUUUGGCAUUACAAUUCUUGAGGCUGUUAUUUUACAAUGGCAACUUUACACUCGAUAAAUGUUAAGAUAAACCCGCUUUGCCAGUCGUUUAAAUGUCAUCUCUUGAAAUACAGGUAAUAGUUCUUGAAUGAUGAGUCCUUCACGUCUUUAUUUUAGAUUUAUUUUAAUCACUUGGAAAAUACAACAUAUCAUAGCGAGGUUUUGUAUCAUAAAACAAUUAAAAAUUAGAUAAAAUGAGAGCAUCAUUUUGCCACCAAAUACGACAAUCGAAAAUACUUGUGAAAAUUUUCUUUUUAAAAAAUUCACCUUCAGUUCACGUUUAUAUAAUUCUCACAAUUUCAUUACUUUACCUUGGACCUCUGCAUGUCACCUUGACCAAGAGGGAUAUUGCGUUUUUGCUUAACAAGAUGCUUUACAAUAUUGAAUAUUUUUGCAAAGUAUAGCAAUCUUUAUAUAUAGGUAAAAAGAUUCACUGCAAAUAAAUGUUUUCCACUAACCUAUAAAUGUGUACCUUGACCUACACAGCUGUAUAAUGUUUCAAUUUUUAUGUUUUUCUUGAUAAUAUGUACUUGUGUCCAGUAACAACUGAAUUCUUCUAUGCAUUUAAGAGAUAUACUCCGGACAAAAUUCUAACUUUUACCAUGGCAUGGUUUAUGUUUAAUAUUGUAAAACCGGUGCAAGAGACGUGGACGAAGUCAACGAAUAUGUUCAAUAAACCCGAGUCUGCAACAUUUUCAGUUCUACCUAUUUUAGCGUUUUCUUUGAAAGCUUAUUUCUUUAAUUUACAUGUUAUCAUUUCUGGUGACCAUAAGCAAAACUAUGCUGGCAAUACCAAGUCAUGAUUGACAUUUUUUUAUAUAAUCCAUCGAUUCAAGACCCCCCAAAUGUCAUAAACUAGAAAUAAUGGCCGAAAAUAAAUAAAAUAGAAUUUUGAAAGGGGUCAGGUUUAUGAGCCUGCACAUUACAGAUAAGCUGUAACAAGACAAAUUUUACAAAAGGAGACAAGAUAUCGUAUGGGUGACUUGCAGUAUUCAACAAAGAAACAAUUGUGCCAACUUUUAUUAAAAUUUAAAAUAAUGCUCCGGUCAAGCAUUUUCCUACGACCUCUUAGUGUCACUGUCGUUGAUCUAGAUGUGCUGCGAAAAUAUCCAGAACUUGGUUACUAGCAUGGAUUACAUUUAAUAUAAAUUAGGAUUAAAUUGCAAACACUUUCACUAUUUACAAGAAAGCCGACUUUUUGCAACCAUACCAUUUGCUUCACGCUUAAACCAACAAGACCACCAGUUCACGUUCGUCCCCGUGAUCUGUCUUAUUUUGGUUGUAUUUUUAAAUUAUUAGUCGAUGUCAUUAUGGUUUUCUAUCAAACGUGUCUAAGAAAGCACCAUAUGCGAAUGCGUGAGCUGAAGACGUGGGAACUUUGAAGAGAAAAAUAAUAUCAAUAAAACACGUCGAAUAGCAAUAUACAGAUCAACUACUACUUAUGAACUGUUCUAUUUUAAUUGAUCUUAUUUUUAUUCAAAUUUUAACCAACAAAAUAAGACAAGAAUCUCCAAUUUGCAACUUUUUAACUUACCCGUACCAAAAUCUAUGUCGCAAGAGGCUUGAUGUCAUCGUAUAUGCGUCUACAUAACUUUGUAAACAAAUAUGACUGCGCCCAUAAGAGUUAUAAUUUUUACGUUGUUAUUGUGUGUAUGCGGCGAAGAAACGAAUAUUUACUGUGUUGUCAAAGAAACAUUAACAACAGGAUGGGAACUUGAUCCCGUUUAUAUUACAAAUCCAGCUACUAUUUCAAACCAGAUGUGAUAACCUGUUCUCAGUUGAUGGAUACAAGUUACAGAGAUGUGAUAGAGAUGCCCAUGGUGGAGGCUUGCUGACACUAAUACGGGCUGAUUUACCUAUUAAACGCCGUACAGAUUUAGAAAAUCAAGGUAUCAAAAAAGUGUAAAUGUCCCAAGGGUCAAAACAGUACAGUAACAUACGGUAAGAAUUCUUUUCGGUUUGAGGGUGCCCAGAUAUGGAA